This 366-nucleotide ribosomal RNA is filed under the name Triticum aestivum (bread wheat). RNAcentral describes it as "partial small subunit ribosomal RNA". Lineage: Eukaryota; Viridiplantae; Streptophyta; Magnoliopsida; Poales; Poaceae. The record is from RNAcentral.
AUGAUCCACCGAAACAUCGUCGGCAUUUGUUGGUUCAAGGAUUUUGAAUGGCUCGAGUUUUCACCUUACACAAAGCGUGCAUAUUGCUUCCAUUGUUUCCUCUUCUCAAGAAAGCCGAUUGGGAAGUGCGGCUCAGAAACAUUUACUGUUUGGGGCUUUGAUAGGAGGAAGAAGGUGAAUAAUGGGAAAGAGUGUGCUUUUUUAACUCAUAUGGGUAAAGCUGGUUCAGCCCAUAACUUCUCAGUUCGUUGUUGUGAUAAUUUUAAAAACAGCACUCAUAUUGAUAAGGUGUUUGGGAAAGAAUCCGCAAAAACGAUUUUAGAUGCAAGGCUAAGGCUCAAAGUUACAAUUGAUUCCAUCCAGUAA